UUACUUACCUGGCAGGGAAGACACCGUGAGAAUGAAGGUGGUUUUUCAGGAAAGGUUCACCCUUUCACUCCAGAUUCCCCCAAAUGUGGGAAACUCAGCUGCAUAAUUUAUGGUGGUUGUGGGGGGAACUAUGUUUGUACUCUCCUCUU
Molecule: small nuclear RNA, 149 nt
Filed under: Ochotona princeps (American pika)
Lineage: Eukaryota; Metazoa; Chordata; Mammalia; Lagomorpha; Ochotonidae
Description: U1 spliceosomal RNA (ENSOPRG00000017949.1)
Rfam family: U1 spliceosomal RNA
About the family: U1 is a small nuclear RNA (snRNA) component of the spliceosome (involved in pre-mRNA splicing). Its 5' end forms complementary base pairs with the 5' splice junction, thus defining the 5' donor site of an intron.
Source: RNAcentral